GUUUGAAAUGAAGAUAAAACAUUAUAUCCCUAUUGGGAUGAUUGGCUGGCAUGAUGGCCUAAAUUCUGUAUUUAGCUCUAUCUGAUCAUCU
Molecule: non-coding RNA, 91 nt
Organism: Triticum aestivum (bread wheat)
Lineage: Eukaryota; Viridiplantae; Streptophyta; Magnoliopsida; Poales; Poaceae
Source: Rfam